This 26-nucleotide non-coding RNA is filed under the name Mus musculus (house mouse). Lineage: Eukaryota; Metazoa; Chordata; Mammalia; Rodentia; Muridae. The record is from RNAcentral.
CAGAUCAUUUACAAGCUGUGUGGAAG